CUGGGUGUGGCGCAGCUGGUAGCGCGCCAGAAUGGGGUUCUGGAGGCCGGGGGUUCAAGUCCCCACACUCAGACCA
This 76-nucleotide transfer RNA is filed under the name Thermoanaerobacter sp. Its description in RNAcentral is "tRNA-Pro". It matches the Rfam family "tRNA". From Rfam's summary of the family: Transfer RNA (tRNA) molecules are approximately 80 nucleotides in length. Their secondary structure includes four short double-helical elements and three loops (D, anti-codon, and T loops). Lineage: Bacteria; Bacillati; Bacillota; Clostridia; Thermoanaerobacterales; Thermoanaerobacteraceae. The record is from RNAcentral.